RNAcentral lists this ribosomal RNA (253 nucleotides) under uncultured bacterium. RNAcentral describes it as "partial 16S ribosomal RNA". It matches the Rfam family "Bacterial small subunit ribosomal RNA", at positions 524 to 776 of the family's 1533-position model. The record is from RNAcentral.
UACGUAGGCAGCAAGCGUUGUUCGGAAUUACUGGGCGUAAAGAGUGUGUAGGCGGUGCUCCAAGUCUGGUGUGAAAUCUCCCGGCUCAACUGGGAGGGUGCGCUAGAAACUGAAAUGCUAGAGGAUGGGAGAGGUAAGCGGAAUUCCCGGUGUAGUGGUGAAAUGCGUAGAUAUCGGGAGGAACACCAGUGGCGAAGGCGACUUCCUGGCCUGUUCUUGACGCUGAGGCGCGAAAGCUAGGGGAGCAAACGGG